RNAcentral lists this ribosomal RNA (257 nucleotides) under uncultured prokaryote. RNAcentral describes it as "partial 16S ribosomal RNA". It matches the Rfam family "Bacterial small subunit ribosomal RNA", at positions 524 to 780 of the family's 1533-position model. The record is from RNAcentral.
UACGGAGGAUCCGAGCGUUAUCCGGAUUUAUUGGGUUUAAAGGGUGCGCAGGUUGUUUGAUAAGUCAGUGGUAAAAGUCUGUCGCUUAACGGUAGGAUUGCCAUUGAUACUGUUGGACUUGAAUAUGGAUGAGGUAGGCGGAAUGUGUAGUGUAGCGGUGAAAUGCAUAGAUAUUACACAGAACACCGAUUGCGAAGGCAGCUUACUAAUCCAUCAUUGACGCUGAGGCACGAAAGCGUGGGGAUCAAACAGGAUUA